UUUUGCUACAUCCGCGUUAGU
This 21-nucleotide non-coding RNA is filed under the name Caenorhabditis elegans. The record is from RNAcentral. Lineage: Eukaryota; Metazoa; Nematoda; Chromadorea; Rhabditida; Rhabditidae.